GAUGAACGCUGGCGGCGUGCCUAAUACAUGCAAGUCGAGCGAAGCGGGGACGGGGGAGUAACACGUGGCUAACCUCCUAUAAGACUGGGAUAACUUCGGGAAACCGGAGCUAAACCGGAUAAUUAUCGCUGGAUCCGCACUGCAUUAGCUAGUUGGUAAGGUAACGGCUUACCAAGGCAACGAUGCAUAGCCGACCUGAGAGGGUGAUCGGACAAACUGGAAAUGAGACACGGGCCAGACGCCUACGGGAGGCAGCAGGAGGGAAUCUUCCGCAAUGGGCGAAAGCCUGACGGAGCAACGCCGCGUGAGUGAUGAAGGUUUUCGGAUCGUAAAACUCUGUUAUUAGGGAAGCGGUAUCUAAUCAGAAAGCCACGGCUAACUACGUGCCAGCAGCCGCGGUAAUAC
This 405-nucleotide ribosomal RNA is filed under the name uncultured bacterium. Its description in RNAcentral is "partial 16S ribosomal RNA". It matches the Rfam family "Bacterial small subunit ribosomal RNA", at positions 28 to 526 of the family's 1533-position model. The record is from RNAcentral.